This 253-nucleotide ribosomal RNA is filed under the name uncultured bacterium. RNAcentral's name for it is "partial 16S ribosomal RNA". It matches the Rfam family "Bacterial small subunit ribosomal RNA", at positions 524 to 776 of the family's 1533-position model. The record is from RNAcentral.
UACAGAGGUCUCAAGCGUUGUUCGGAUUCAUUGGGCGUAAAGGGUGCGUAGGCGGCGCGGUAAGUCGGGUGUGAAAGCCCCGGGCUCAACCUGGGAAUUGCAUUCGAGACUGCGUAGCUAGGGUGCGGAAGAGGGAAGCGGAAUUUCCGGUGUAGCGGUGAAAUGCGUAGAUAUCGGAAGGAACACCAGUGGCGAAAGCGGCUUCCUGGUCCAGCACCGACGUUCAGGCACGAAAGCGUGGGGAGCAAACAGG